Molecule: unclassified non-coding RNA, 148 nt
Filed under: soil metagenome
Description: partial internal transcribed spacer 1
Source: RNAcentral
UAAUAAGUGUUUUAUGGCACUUUUUAAAUCCAUAUCCACCUUGUGUGCAAUGCCGGUCGAUCUUCUUUUUUUUGAGGAUCGACCAAACAUCAACCUUUAUUUUUUAACUCUUUGUCUGAAGAAUAUUAUGAAUAAACAAUUCAAAAUA